Molecule: long non-coding RNA, 563 nt
Filed under: Trifolium pratense (red clover)
Lineage: Eukaryota; Viridiplantae; Streptophyta; Magnoliopsida; Fabales; Fabaceae
Description: long non-coding RNA (TPRA_LNC009010)
Source: RNAcentral
CGCCAUUGACCAAGACUUUUUUUUUCGUUUUCCGGCCAGAAAUGGCCUUUUUUGGUUUUUUUUAACAAAAAUUAAUAUUAUUAAUAAUAAUAAUUAUUAUGAUAGAGAGAUCUAGAUCGGGGAAGAACGCAAAUUAAAUCCAGUAGAAGAAACCAUAACAGUAGAAGAAAACAAAAAUCAACAAGAAGAUCUGGGAAGAACGAAAAUCAAAUCCAGUAGUAAACGAGAAUUAAAUCCACUGGUAAACGAAAAUCAACAGAGAGAUCUAGAUCUAACAAAAUCAGAUUUCAAAUCUAGAUCUAGAUCAAUGAAAACUGGGUUUUUUGGGUUUUGUUUUGUUUGUUUAAAUUUGACGAUUUUGGGUUUGAUUUGUGUUUAUAACUGUUAAAUAAGUGUUUUUAAAGGUGAUUUGGGGAUUUUUUUUGGGUUUUUAGGGUUCUAGUAGUGGUGGCACCGCCGACGGAACCCAGUCGACACGGUGGUAGGCGCGGCGGGUCCUGGUUUGGUGAUGAUGAAUGUUCUUGAAGAAGUGAAAGGAGAGAAGAGAAGAGAGAGCGUGAGAG